Molecule: ribosomal RNA, 453 nt
Filed under: uncultured bacterium
Lineage: Bacteria
Description: bacterial SSU rRNA
Rfam family: Bacterial small subunit ribosomal RNA
Source: RNAcentral
AGAGUUUGAUCCUGGCUCAGAACGAACGCUGGCAGCAUGCCUAACACAUGCAAAUCGAACGAAGCCUUCGGGCUUAGUGGCGCACGGGUGCGUAACGCGUGGGAAUCUGCCCUUCGGUUCGGAACAACAGUUAGAAAUGACUGCUAAUACCGGAUGAUGACGUAAGUCCAAAGAUUUAUCGCCGAAGGAUGAGCCCGCGUAGGAUUAGCUAGUUGGUAAGGUAAAAGCUUACCAAGGCGACGAUCCUUAGCUGGUCUGAGAGGAUGAUCAGCCACACUGGGACUGAGACACGGCCCAGACUCCUACGGGAGGCAGCAGUGGGGAAUAUUGGACAGUGGGCGAAAGCCUGAUCCAGCAAUGCCGCGUGAGUGAUGAAGGCCUUAGGGUUGUAAAGCUCUUUUACCCGGGAUGAUAAUGACAGUACCGGGAGAAUAAGCCCCGGCUAACUCCGUG